Molecule: long non-coding RNA, 1196 nt
Organism: Phragmites australis (common reed)
Lineage: Eukaryota; Viridiplantae; Streptophyta; Magnoliopsida; Poales; Poaceae
Exons: 3
Source: RefSeq, a predicted model, not a curated record
AUGGAAUGGAAGGACCUUCAGCUUGUGUGUGUGUCCUUAUCCCUUGGCUUCAACUCAUAAUUGGCUAAUACGUUCUUGAUUCAAAGAUUCUGUCUGAUGAGAUAGACAUAUUCAAUUCAUGCGGGCAGGGCAGUCCGCAUGUUGAACGCACCAUUUGGUUGAAGGUGUAAUCCAUUGUUUUCUCUAGAUAUUUGUUGAGUUGAGUUUGAAUCAUAUGAGAAACUGGCCAGCCAACAGUUCAGGGGAGCACCGACCAGCAGGCAGUCAGGCAGGAAGGCUAGCUAGUCGAGGACUGGAGGAGUCACCACACAUCCGGGCUCCGGCCUUCUCAACGUCUUGAGGCCUGAGGGAAGGAAGAAAUUAAACCAACUUCAACUAAUGGAUGGGUGCAUCUUUCUGUACGCAGGAGUACGUUGGGAACUCGCGGGGGAUGAGGCUCUUCACCCCGCAGAUGGGUGCCCAAGAAAUCAAUCAAAGCUCUCGUCUUCCUGUGCCAUGGUGAUGAAUGCGACUUAACGGUCAACGGCGGGAUGAUCGAGGCCAAGCGGGGUGCUUGGUGCCAGACGAUUAAAGAGACUAGACGAAGUCAAGGGUGAUGCUAGUUGUGCAUAUUGAGAUCAAGCAAAGCAUGAGAAGAUGGAUGAAGACGACUUGUUGACAAAGUCAAACGAAGGGAUGUCGGUGAAGAUGACAAGACGGCACGAGGGUUCGGAAGCGGGAGAGACUUGCUGGCGGUCAAAAUCGCAAGAUGGAGUACACAUGUCGACAUCGGGAUGCUUGCUUGAGGUGAAAGCAAGUGGCAAUGAGUCACGUUUUGAGAAACAUGCGAUGCAGUUUCGCGAUUUAGCCUCAAAAUUGUGUAAGGAUGUAGUGCACGUGGUAUCAUCGUGAAACUUGCGUCGAGGCAGAGCUAAGUCGUGAAGACGCUACGGUCGUUCGAUGGAUAGAGGAGAAAAUGGACCAAAAUACCCUCGGUGGUAGGUAGGAGUGUACUAUAAAAGAGUGAUAUUUUGGAAAACAGAAAACUUGGCAUUCAAGAAAGCUCUCAAGGUAUAUAAAUAGAGAGGUAGAGCUGUUGGGAGAAGGUGAGUCAGCCAUUUGAGUUUGAGUGCUAGGAUUUUAGAGGAGAGGGAUAUGGUAGCUUAGCCUAUGUAUUAUGUGAGAGCUUUUUUGAGCAAAAUACUUUGUAAUUUGUC